GACGAACGCUGGCGGCGUGCUUAACACAUGCAAGUCGAACGGAAAGGCCCUUUCGGGGGUACUCGAGUGGCGAACGGGUGAGUAACACGUGGGUGAUCUGCCCUGCACUUCGGGAUAAGCCUGGGAAACUGGGUCUAAUACCGGAUAUGACUACGGGUCGCAUGGUCUGUGGUGGAAAGCUUUUGCGGUGUGGAUGGCCCGCGGCCUAUCAGCUUGUUGGUGGGGUGGAUGGCCUACCAAGGCGACGACGGGUAGCCGGCCUGAGAGGGUGACCGGCCACACUGGGACUGAGAUACGGCCCAGACUCCUACGGGAGGCAGCAGUGGGGAAGUAUUGCACAAUGGCGCAAGCCUGAUGCAGCGACG
Molecule: ribosomal RNA, 365 nt
Filed under: uncultured bacterium
Lineage: Bacteria
Description: bacterial SSU rRNA
Rfam family: Bacterial small subunit ribosomal RNA
Source: RNAcentral